UACGGGGGGGGCAAGCGUUGUUCGGAAUUACUGGGCGUAAAGGGCUCGUAGGCGGCCAACUAAGUCAGACGUGAAAUCCCUCGGCUUAACCGGGGAGCUGCGUCUGAUACUGGGUGGCUUGAAUCCGGGAGAGGGAUGCGGAAUUCCAGGUGUAGCGGUGAAAUGCGUAGAUAUCUGGAGGAACACCGGUGGCGAAGGCGGCAUCCUGGACCGGUAUUGACGCUGAGGAGCGAAAGCCAGGGGAGCAAACGGG
Molecule: ribosomal RNA, 253 nt
Filed under: uncultured bacterium
Lineage: Bacteria
Description: partial 16S ribosomal RNA
Rfam family: Bacterial small subunit ribosomal RNA
Source: RNAcentral